ACGUCUUCUUUUAGAAGACGCUUGGCUAAGAUCAAGUGUAGUAUCUGUUCUUAUCGGUUUAAUAUCUGAUACGUCCUCUAUAUGAGGACUACAUAUUAAAUUGAUUUUUAGGACAGGGAGACGGAAGAGGGGCUUGCUCCGUCCGCUCCACGCAUCGACCUGGUAUUGCAGUACCUCCGGGAACGGUGCACCUCCU
Molecule: small nuclear RNA, 196 nt
Organism: Pygocentrus nattereri (red-bellied piranha)
Lineage: Eukaryota; Metazoa; Chordata; Actinopteri; Characiformes; Serrasalmidae
Gene: U2
Rfam family: U2 spliceosomal RNA
About the family: U2 is a small nuclear RNA (snRNA) component of the spliceosome (involved in pre-mRNA splicing). Complementary binding between U2 snRNA (in an area lying towards the 5' end but 3' to hairpin I) and the branchpoint sequence (BPS) of the intron results the bulging out of an unpaired adenosine, on the BPS, which initiates a nucleophilic attack at the intronic 5' splice site, thus starting the first of two transesterification reactions that mediate splicing.
Source: Ensembl